Molecule: transfer RNA, 57 nt
Filed under: Diaphorina citri (Asian citrus psyllid)
Lineage: Eukaryota; Metazoa; Arthropoda; Insecta; Hemiptera; Psyllidae
Rfam family: tRNA
About the family: Transfer RNA (tRNA) molecules are approximately 80 nucleotides in length. Their secondary structure includes four short double-helical elements and three loops (D, anti-codon, and T loops). Further hydrogen bonds mediate the characteristic L-shaped molecular structure. tRNAs have two regions of fundamental functional importance: the anti-codon, which is responsible for specific mRNA codon recognition, and the 3' end, to which the tRNAs corresponding amino acid is attached (by aminoacyl-tRNA synthetases). tRNAs cope with the degeneracy of the genetic code in two manners: having more than one tRNA (with a specific anti-codon) for a particular amino acid; and 'wobble' base-pairing, i.e. permitting non-standard base-pairing at the 3rd anti-codon position.
Source: Rfam by way of RNAcentral
UGGCGAAGUGGUCAUUGCACUCGCCUUGCACGCGGGAGACCCGGGUUCGAUUCCCGG